RNAcentral lists this long non-coding RNA (6819 nucleotides) under Sus scrofa (pig). RNAcentral describes it as "lncRNA (ENSSSCG00050054112.1)". Lineage: Eukaryota; Metazoa; Chordata; Mammalia; Artiodactyla; Suidae. The record is from RNAcentral.
CAUGAGCUGUAACUAAUUAGUUUUGAAAUCUAAAUAGCCAACUUCCCAUGGCUCACACUGCCAGGACCCUGGAGGGGAAUGGAGUACACCCCAGCACUAAAAGAGGCCCUGAUCCCCAAGCUCACAGCCUCUGGAGCAGAAUCCACCAUCACCUUGGGCUCACAGGAGGAUAGUAGGCAUUCAUAAAAUGCUUGUGGAUGGACGGUGUCCUAAAAAUUCUGCAAGCGUGUCCCCGAGAUCCCACUGCCCCCAACAUCAGAGAAGGGCUGUCUGUAGCCCCUUGGGGAGCUGCCUGCAAGGACUGAGGGCCUGGGGAUCUAGAGAAGAGGUUUCCUCUUCCUCCGACAUCAGGAGUCCGCCUCCCUACUGGACGCAGUAGGGAGAGCUGAUGCAAAAUGCUUGACUUGGCCUUGGCCGACCCCAGGUGACUCCUGACACCAAGCAGCCUGGCAACAGGGGCCUGGGGGAGGGGAUAAUUUAUAUUUUUGCUUGGUGACAAAUGGCUAAAUAAUAGAUCUGGCUGGGGUUUCGGUUUCUCCCCCAGCAGCUUGACCGAUGUGUUGGCCUGUUGACUCAAUCGGCGUUAUUUUGGCCCUGUGGGGACCCAGAACUCGGUUUGUGCUCGGGGAGGCCUUCCCCUCUCUCUUGGGUGUUUGGGCUUCCCCCAGUGUCGUGUUUGUUUGCCUUCCUGUCUGGGGCCCUGAGGGUUGAAGAAGGCGGAGGCGUGGGCCUUUGCCAGACUCCAAGUUUUUACGUGGCCUGGGGCACAGACUCCUGUUUGCAUGGCUGGUGAAGCAGCAGCAUCUCCGUCCUCUUUGGCCCGGCAAAUGUGGUCCUUCCUCUCCCUCCAGCCCUAUCUGCCUUUCUCCCUGCAGCCACUCUUAGUAUUAAUGACAGUGGUAGAGCAAUGUAAUUCCUUACGUGCAAAUAGUGCUUUAUGGUUUGUGAAGCCCUUUCAGGGCAUCAUGUCAUUUGACCCUCCCACAGCCCUCUGUUUGGGGCUGAGGCUCAGGGAGGUUUGGGGACUUACCCAAGGUUAUGGACUCAUGAAAGUCAGAGCAGGUCUUUGGAUUUUUGGUCCCGUCUUCUGUCCUCUGACCCAAGAUGCCCUCUUGCCUUUGGAGACUGGGGAAGAGGCUGCCACCCUACAUCUAUUCCCCUUUCUUCCUUAGCAAUAGAACCUCAGUUUUAUUCAAGGUAGCAUUGUUCCCAGGCAAAAGAAAGAUUCCUAGCCUAACUUGCAGCUGUGGUUUGUAACCAGGCGCUUCAGGAAAACUUAAAGAGGGGGCAUGGACCCUUUUUACCUUAUCUCACUAUCUGGAAUUCAGAGAUAAUGGCUGGAACUCAGCAGCCAUUCUGGACAAUGAGGUAACCUUGAGGAUAAAAGCCAUGUACUAAGAUAGUAAGUCAGAAAUACAGAAGGGUCCUGAGUCUCAGAUGACCAGAGAACUACUAUGCCAGCCAAGACUUCCUAAACCAAGACCUCUUUUACACGAGAGAGAAAUAAACUUCUAUUUUGUUUAAGUCAUUGCUAUAUGGUUCUCUGUUUGCAGCCAAGUUGAAUUGCUCCUGAUUCAGGAGCCUCAUUUCCAGUAAGACACCACCUCUCCUGCACCCCUUCCUGCUGACUGAGCAUGUGGAAGGCUCUCUUCUAGUGGUUCUCAGCUCUCCUUGUUGUAUAUUCUGGGCCUGGGUCAUGAGAACUAGCCCCUGUACAUUUCUGGGUCCCUUGAACCUGAGGAGAGUUCUAGAGAAUGACCACAUAUAUUUCCUUCUGUUAGUUCUCAUAGCCCAGUGACACUACUGAUGGGGGGAGAACACAUGAAAACUCCAAGCCCUCAGCCAUUUGCAUAGGCUGGAUUCUUCUGAGGGUUAGUUUACAAACACUUCCAACUACUCUUCAUCCUCCGUAUUGCAGAGGGUGGGCCAGAGGGUUUAUCAUUUGGGCCCUGCUCCUCAUCUGCCCCACCCCCAAAGCAGAGAAAGUAGAGUCCCGGUGUUCAUGAUCCCUGCCUCCUGAAUCCCUACCAGUAAAACGUUUGAAGCACAUGCACCCCUGACAGCUGCAUGUCUUUUGGCUAAAGAAUUACAGACCUCCUCCUGUUGGUCUGGCCAUGUGGAACUGUGAGGAACUGAUGUACCUUGACUGAUCGGGGGCUGGGCGCAGCCUUGUGCAUCAGGUCACAGAUGUCUUUAAGGGCUAGGCUCUCUCUAGCUUUCAGAAGUGCCUCUAUCGUUAUUGUGUUGGCUUUUGUUCUCAAGUCCAUCCCUUCAAGGGUAUGUGUUAAAAUCGUAUCUGCCUUCUCAGUAAGAAAAUGGGCAGGGGCAGUGCCAGCCUGCCAUGCUCUGGCACUGUCGCUUUCUGAGAAGCAAAAUGUCUUUUCCAGAAACCUCUGGUGAACGUGUCUUUCUGCCUUAUUAGCCAGCCCUGGGUCACAUGGCUUCACUGGUCACAGGAGUCUGGGAAGUUAUCAGGUAACAAGGGGAAACAGAGGUGAGAAUGGAAUGGCUGUUGGGUGGCACCUCAUAGGGUCUGCAAUGCACGUUUACCACUGGGCCAGUGUGUUGGUUACAUGAUAAAAGCUGCAUUAAAAAUAGGAUUUUUUUUUUUUUUUUUUUGGUGCACCCGCACAUGGAAGUUCCCAGGCUAGGGAUUGAAUCCGAGCCACAGCUGCAACCUGUGCAAUAGCUGUGACAACACUGGAUCCUUUAACCCACUGUGCUGGGCCGGGGACCAAACCCUUGGCUCCACAGUGACCUGAGCUGCUACAGUCAGGUUCUUAACCCACUGUGAGAAAUCCCUCAGUACCUUUUAAGAAACAGUAAAUAUUGGAGUUCCCAUCAUGGCGCAGUGGUUAACGAAUCCGACUAGGAACCAUGAGGUUGCGGGUUCAGUCCCUGCCCUUGCUCAGUGGGUUAAUGAUCCGGCGUUGCCGUGAGCUGUGGUGUAGGUUGCAGACGCGGCUCGGAUCCUGCGUUGCUGUAGCUCUGGCGUAGGCCGGUGGCUACAGCUCCGAUUCGACCCCUAGCCUGGGAACCUCCAUAUGCUGCAGGUGUGGCCCUAGAAAAAGGCAAAAAGACAAAAAAGAAAAAAAAAAAGAAACAGUAAAUAUUAGAUAAGACAUUUCCCUUCAAUAACAGCUCCCCACGUCUGAGCAAGAGAUGGGGUGGGGAGAGUUAAAGUAUUGAAAGUAUGGAAAGCAAUGGCAGUUCCCCAAAGAACAUUUUAAUAAUGCCCAUUAUUCAAGUGUCCAGGUGUUUUUCAUUUCUGUAGCAACCAAAGCCACAUGCUGAGGAUUCCUGCUGGGGCUAGAGCACAGGACCGGAGGCCGACCAACAUUUGCCUGCUGUGGUCUCCGCCUACUGUAAGCCCCUGAUCCUGCGAUUCUGCUCUCUUGGCCUUAGUUUCCUCAGCUGGAACCUGGAAGGUUGGGCUAGAAGGUGUUAAGCCUGUCCCUUCCUCUUCUGUUUAGGGCAUCCCUGUUGUCAGAGUCACGUGACGCCUCUUUGCCUAGUCUCACCGUCCCGCUCCCCUCCCCAAGCCCCUUGGACUAUGGCCCGCCUUCCCUUUCUCCGACCUGCUUACUCACCGGUUCCCCUGCCCUCUGGUAACUCUGCCCUUUGGAAAGUGCUCCCAUCCCAGCAUCCUAUGGGAGGCAGCAUGAAGGUCUGGUCUCUGCUGGAGAUUCGGCCUGGGAUUUCAGAUGCUCCCCCACUCCCCAAACAGAUUCAGAGCCCUUUCAGUAUGCAAGGACAUGUCCUAGGGCUUCAUAUGUUUUAUCGCACAUAACACUAGGAGCUUGCUACUCUUAUUAUCAUCAUUACCAUCACCAUUACCACUUUUAAAAUGAAGAGAAUGGGGCACAGAGAGGUUAAGUACCUUGCCCAAGGUCACACAGCUGAUAGGGGGCACAGCUGCAUGUUUGCCCAGGCAUUCUGGCUCUAGAGCCUUGCUCUUAACCACUAUGGUAGACGGUAUUAAUUUCUCUGUCUCUGUGACUUUGGGUGCGUUCUUUUGUUAUUUCUGUAAAUGCAGAACCAUUGGAGAGCACAUUGCAGACAUCAUGCCACUUCACCUUAAAUACUUCAGCGUCUCUACCAGGUGUUUCUCUAUAACCUCAGCACCCAGGAUAUUUGACACCGACACAAACUAUCAUCUAAUACCAUGUUUAUUUUCAAAUAUCCCUCUCUCAAAAAUAUCCUUCGUAGCUUUUUUUUCAAUAUAGAGUCCAAUCAAUGACCACACAUUUAGUUAUAAUAUUUUAAAAACUUUUGGGAGUUCCUGCCGUGGCUCAGCGGAAACAAAUCUGACUAGGAUCCAAAGAGGAUGCAUGUUCAAUCCCUGGCCUCACUCAGUGGGUUAAAGAUCCGGCAUUGCCAUGAGCUGUGGUGUAGGUUGUGCCACUGUGGCUGUGGUGUAGGCUGGUGACUACAGCUCCAAUUUGACCCCUAGCCUGGGAACUUCCAUAUGCCUUGGGUGCGGCCCUAAAAAGUAAAAAAAAAAAAGAGGGUUUUUAGUACAUUCAUAAAGUUGUGCAACUAUUACUACUUUCUAAUUCUAGAAAAUUUUCAUCGUCCCCAAAGAGACCCUGUACCCAUUAGCAGUCACUCCCCACUUGCCUGUAGCAACCACUAAUCUGUUUUCCAUUGCUGUGGGUUUAUAUAUUCUAGAUGUUUCAUAUAAAUGGAAUCAUAUAGUCUGUGGCCUUUUGUGUCUUGCUUCUUUCACUUAGCAUCAAAGUUUCAAGAUUCACCCAUGUCAAAGCAUGGAUUCAUUCAUUUUUAAAGGCUGAAUAAUAUUCCAUUGCACAGACAUACCACAUUUUGUUUAUCCAUUCAUCUGUUGAUGGACCCUUGGGUUGCUUCCACUUGUUGUCUACUAUGAACAGUGUUGGGGUCCAGGCUGCUAUUUUGCAGAAUGUCCCUCCGUUCAGAUUGUCUGAUUGUUUUCCUCGUAGUUUCAGGUUCACUGCAUCUAUUUUCAUAGCCUAAGAAAUGGCUUUCUCUUUCUGCUGAGCCCAGCGAUGGCCAGCGUCUCUGCCCAGCUACGUCGCCGGCAGGUGGAACAGCCUAUUGGAGGCAGAGCUCCCUGCCUCCCCAACAAAGCAGUGCUGUGCUUAUUGCCACUGCCCACAGUCCCUGCUGCUGCCUUCCCUGCCCUGUGGGCACAGAACCUCAGAGCUAUUUCAAGCCCUUUCGUGGUAGACCUGGCCUGGGAAAGUCUGAGGUCCUGGCUGCUGGACACAAGUGCCUUCCUUAGAGGCAUGAAGGUCAUUCCCUGGGCUUGGCUUCUUUGGUCUGGUGGCCCAGCCCCUUGCUUCUGGUUCCCACCGACCCCCAGCAGUCACCCCCCGGCAACUGGCAUGAGGGAACAGAAUACACCUCACUGGGAUGGGCUUCCUGUUGACAAACGCCGGCUUGUGGCAUCGGGUGUGGUUAAGGCUCAAAAGAGCAUCUCUCUAAAAAUGGGCCCUUUCUGCUCAAUGGAUUUGGAGCACGUGUGUCUUUGAGUCAUUGCUGUUUCCUUCAUCCUGGCAAAAAUGACCUUUCUUUCCCUGCUGGUUUCCUCUGCGCAGCCCCCGGAGUCCCACAGCUAUGAGAACCUGGCGUUCUUCCUUCCUGGACCUCUUCCCCCCGUAACAGCUCAACCUCCCUGGCAAAAUCCACAGAGAUGCUGGGCCGCUGCUCCAUAGCUGUUUGUUUUCUUGUUUAGAGCAGAAUGAGGCAGGGCUUUUGAGUCACUUUCUGACUCGCUGUGUGGCUUUGAACAAGCCACUGGACCACUCUGUGCUCCUGUUUUCCCAGUGGGAAAUGAGAGAACGGAUGAUGUCAUUCUUUGCAGCAUUUCUCCACAGACUGGGGUUUGUUUAGGGGUGAGACAAUGGAGCAAGUGACAGAGAUGGGGUGAACCUCCUUCCUUGGAGGUGCAGACAUUGAACAAUAGGUCAGAUCCCCAUUUGGCCAUCCUGGCAGAUAAAGAGGUGGCUGUGGAAAGAGCAUGAGCUUGAGGGCCAGACUCUCUCAUGGCCAAGAUGUAUCUCUCUGUUUUUUACUAGCUGUGUGGCCUCAGGCAAGUUAAUCUCUCAGACCCUCCCUAUAAUAUAGCUCCUAUAAUAUAAAGGUAGCUUUUCCAGGGUUGAUGAAGAGAUCAAAGGGGGGUGAUUCUGUAAAGUGCUAAGGACAGUUUCUAGAAGGUUGUAGAAGUCCAAUAAACCAUUGAUUUUGAGAAAGUACAGUCACCUAAGAUAGCAGUGGGCUAGUUUCUUGGGCUCUAUCCAAAUCCUUUCUCCUCUCUUUGGGCCAGUUUCUCAUGCUGAGGUUUAAGCCAGGUAAUUUAGUGUCUUUGGAUGGAUGCUGUACUGUGGGGUUGGCCCUGGAGAUGAAGGUCCCUUAUCUCUCACCCUCCUUUUUGCUCAGCCCAGUUUUCACCUCUUUGGAAAACAACCCAUCAGAAACGGGUUGCAAAAGGUCCCAAGUUAUCUCAAGGAACACUUCUGGAGGGGGAAUUGCUGCAGGGCGGGCUGUGAACCCCACCUGUGGGGCCGAGACUCCCUGGGAGGUUUGUGGGUUCCAGCCUCCCUGGUGGCCUGGCUCGGGUGGGCCACCCAGGGGGUGAGAUUUCAGGACUGCCCAGCCACAGCUCCUCCCCAUCUUGUGGGCUAAUUCUUGAUAGUCCUCGAAGCCCAUUGAUUUAAAGCUUUGAUCCCUGCUGGAGAGAGAUCCACCUGGGAAAAGAUAGCACUUAAUCCUUCUCAAUCAUGUAGCCCUCAAAACUCCAUAUGCCGUGGGGUGGCCAAAAAAAAAAACAAAAAAAAAAAA